UUAGAAACUUUAGCGCCAUGUACCGCCAUAGAGAGCGGUUAACGAGGAUUCGGGUUUAUCGAAAAUAUUCGGCGGAUGCCCGGACGUAUGCAUGAAUGCGUUAGGCAGUUGUAAAUACCGGAAUGAUCCGGCAACAAAUCAACUGCUGUCAUGCAG
This 156-nucleotide non-coding RNA is filed under the name Butyrivibrio fibrisolvens. RNAcentral's name for it is "GlcN6P sequence". It matches the Rfam family "glmS glucosamine-6-phosphate activated ribozyme aptamer". From Rfam's summary of the family: This entry contains a glucosamine-6-phosphate activated ribozyme that is found in the mRNA for GlmS. GlmS is an enzyme that uses fructose-6-phosphate and glutamine to generate glucosamine-6-phosphate. The ribozyme catalyses self cleavage of the glmS mRNA that is thought to regulate GlmS activity. Lineage: Bacteria; Bacillati; Bacillota; Clostridia; Lachnospirales; Lachnospiraceae. The record is from RNAcentral.